CCAACUCUUGCAGUAGAAUCAUCCAAACGAAUAGAAUGCCAAAACAUGUUCAUAUAAAAAUCACGAAAAAUCGUGUAGGAUGUACGCUGACCUGCACUAUUCGAAGUCCUUGCGACUGCUGCUGGAUCGUUGUCGCACCAACAGUAUGCUGUACUGGCUGUUGCUUGAGCGUGGCACCGACGUUCCCGUGGAAUCAUCGACGUGACCUAGGCAGCAAUUUGGGUGUGAUGAAUUUGAUUCGGAGCUGAAAUUCGCUAGCGUAGGUGCGGUCGAUAUCGCGACUCAAAUUGCUCAAGUCCGUGGAUAAUUUUGAAGGAUUCUGCUUUUUAAGGUUCUAGAAACGGCGGCAAUUAUUUAUAUUGUGAGUGGAGAUCCACAGUUGCUAUUUAGAAGGGUUUCCACUGACGGAUUGCCUGCACAGUUGUUCAAGUUGUGAAGGAUUUUCUAUUCUGAUUUUCAGAGGACCCAAGCUUAAAUUGAAUCAAGACCUAAUUUCUCCGUUCCUCGAUGUGAUGGAGAGCUACGAGGCGACAGUACUGCGCUAGAACUCUUCAGUUUCUGAAGUUUUACCAGGAAGCUUUUCAAAAUUCAGUUUACUUCGUUUGCAUGUGAGAAGAAAUCCGGAGCCUACCUUGUCGUAAGCUCUGCAGGUGAAGGGGCAUCUGCUGUUGACAUCAUGUCUUGGCUCUCGUUCAUGGGGUCAAUUGCAUCAGACUACAUCGUGAAGGUUGCAACGCUAAAGAUAAAUCCAAUUCCCAUAUUGAGCGUACAUUACGUUGUGUUUUCUCGUUUCUUGAUCAUUGAUACUCGGAAUCUUUUUUGGGGAAAAAGUAUCUCCUCUCCACCGUGACAUGCUCUGCCGACUCAACUACUGUAGAGUUCGUUGCAACUGGUCGCUUUGGCCAUCACUGCUGAUGCUAUUCCUUUUGGUGAUUGGUGCCUUGUUCUCGGGUUCUAGUCGAUUUUAAGAACGACUGCUGUAAACAAGAUGCAACCACAAAUUUCUUGUAACCCAUAUCAUGAGUAACUUGCAUUUUCAGAUGACCAAACGUAGGAUUAGAGCCCUGAUUAUAGACCACUUAGAUGGACGCAUGUUAUUUGAAGUUCAAUAAAAUUCUUACAAUUCAUUUUAUUAUUA
Physcomitrium patens is the source of this 1138-nucleotide non-coding RNA. NCBI's taxonomy places the organism in Eukaryota, Viridiplantae, Streptophyta, Bryopsida, Funariales, Funariaceae. The record is from RefSeq and is a predicted model, not a curated record.